GUGGGGAAUAUUAGGCAAUGGGCGCAAGCCUGACCUAGCAACGCCGCGUGAAGGAAGAAGGCCCUCGGGUUGUAAACUUCUUUUAGCAGGGACGAAGGAAGUGACGGUACCUGUUGAAUAAGCCACGGCUAACUACGUGCCAGCAGCCGCGGUAAUACGUAGGGGGCAAGCGUUAUCCGGAUUUACUGGGUGUAAAGGGAGCGUAGGCGGUUCAGCAAGUCAGAAGUGAAAGCCCGGGGCUCAACUCCGGGACUGCUUUUGAAACUGUUGAACUAGAUUGCAGGAGAGGCAAGUGGAAUUCCUAGUGUAGCGGUGAAAUGCGUAGAUAUUAGGAGGAACACCAGUGGCGAAGGCGGCUUGCUGGACUGUAAAUGACGCUGAGGCUCGAAAGCGUGGGGAGCAAACAGGA
Molecule: ribosomal RNA, 409 nt
Filed under: uncultured bacterium
Lineage: Bacteria
Description: bacterial SSU rRNA
Rfam family: Bacterial small subunit ribosomal RNA
Source: RNAcentral